UGCAAGUCGAGCGGGGAAGGUAGCUUGCUACCGGACCUAGCGGCGGACGGGUGAGUAAUGCUUAGGAAUCUGCCUAUUAGUGGGGGACAACAUCUCGAAAGGGAUGCUAAUACCGCAUACGUCCUACGGGAGAAAGCAGGGGAUCUUCGGACCUUGCGCUAAUAGAUGAGCCUAAGUCGGAUUAGCUAGUUGGUGGGGUAAAGGCCUACCAAGGCGACGAUCUGUAGCGGGUCUGAGAGGAUGAUCCGCCACACUGGGACUGAGACACGGCCCAGACUCCUACGGGAGGCAGCAGUGGGGAAUAUUGGACAAUGGGCGCAAGCCUGAUCCAGCCAUGCCGCGUGUGUGAAGAAGGCCUUAUGGUUGUAAAGCACUUUAAGCGAGGAGGAGGCUACUUUAGAUAAUACCUAGAGAUAGUGGACGUUACUCGCAGAAUAAGCACCGGCUAACUCUGUGCCAGCAGCCGCGGUAAUACAGAGGGUGCAAGCGUUAAUCGGAUUUACUGGGCGUAAAGCGCGCGUAGGCGGCUAAUUAAGUCAAAUGUGAAAUCCCCGAGCUUAACUUGGGAAUUGCAUUCGAUACUGGUUAGCUAGAGUGUGGGAGAGGAUGGUAGAAUUCCAGGUGUAGCGGUGAAAUGCGUAGAGAUCUGGAGGAAUACCGAUGGCGAAGGCAGCCAUCUGGCCUAACACUGACGCUGAGGUGCGAAAGCAUGGGGAGCAAACAGGAUUAGAUACCCUGGUAGUCCAUGCCGUAAACGAUGUCUACUAGCCGUUGGGGCCUUUGAGGCUUUAGUGGCGCAGCUAACGCGAUAAGUAGACCGCCUGGGGAGUACGGUCGCAAGACUAAAACUCAAAUGAAUUGACGGGGGCCCGCACAAGCGGUGGAGCAUGUGGUUUAAUUCGAUGCAACGCGAAGAACCUUACCUGGCCUUGACAUAGUAAGAACUUUCCAGAGAUGGAUUGGUGCCUUCGGGAACUUACAUACAGGUGCUGCAUGGCUGUCGUCAGC
Molecule: ribosomal RNA, 1008 nt
Filed under: Acinetobacter nosocomialis
Lineage: Bacteria; Pseudomonadati; Pseudomonadota; Gammaproteobacteria; Moraxellales; Moraxellaceae
Description: bacterial SSU rRNA
Rfam family: Bacterial small subunit ribosomal RNA
Source: RNAcentral